RNAcentral lists this ribosomal RNA (254 nucleotides) under uncultured bacterium. RNAcentral's name for it is "partial 16S ribosomal RNA". It matches the Rfam family "Bacterial small subunit ribosomal RNA", at positions 524 to 776 of the family's 1533-position model. The record is from RNAcentral.
UACGUAGGGUGCGAGCGUUAAUCGGAAUUACGGUGGCGUAAAGUGUGCGCAGGCGGCUUCGCAAGUCGAGUGUGAAAUCCCCGAGCUUAACUUGGGGAAUUGCGCUCGAAACUACGGAGCUGGAGUGUGGCAGAGGAAGGUGGAAUUCCACGUGUAGCGGUGAAAUGCGUAGAGAUGUGGAGGAACACCGAUGGCGAAGGCAGCCUCUGGGCCAACACUGACGCUCAUGCACGAAAGCGUGGGGAGCAAACAGG